CAAUAGCGUAUAUUUAAGUUGUUGCAGUUAAAAAGCUCGUAGUUGGAUUUUGGGUCGGGGCGUCCGGUCCGCCGUUCCGGUGCGCACUGGGCGCCCCUUCCUUUCUGCCGGGGACCGCCUGGGGCUUUAAGUAGCUCGAGGCGGGAGUCGGCGUUGUUACUUUGAAAAAAUUAGAGUGUUCAAAGCAAGCCAUCGCUCUGAAUACAUUAGCAUGGAAUAACAUGAUAGGACUCCGCUCUUAUUUUGUUGGUUUCCGAGACUGGAGUAAUGAUUAAGAGGGACAGUCGGGGGCAUCCGUAUUUCAUUGUCAGAGGUGAAAUUCUUGGAUUUAUGAAAGACGAACUUCUGCGAAAGCAUUUGCCAAGGAUGUUUUCAUUAA
Molecule: ribosomal RNA, 379 nt
Filed under: uncultured eukaryote
Lineage: Eukaryota
Description: partial 18S ribosomal RNA
Rfam family: Eukaryotic small subunit ribosomal RNA
Source: RNAcentral